RNAcentral lists this ribosomal RNA (411 nucleotides) under bacterium enrichment culture clone ALO1_GLFRUDD03FUA7P. RNAcentral describes it as "bacterial SSU rRNA". It matches the Rfam family "Bacterial small subunit ribosomal RNA", at positions 9 to 420 of the family's 1533-position model. The record is from RNAcentral.
GAGUUUGAUCUUGGCUCAGAUUGAACGCUGGCGGCAUGCCUUACACAUGCAAGUCGAACGGCAGCACGGGAGCUUGCUCCUGGUGGGCGAGUGGCGAACGGGUGAGUAAUGCAUCGGAACGUAUCCUGGAGUGGGGGAUAACGUAGCGAAAGUUACGCUAAUACCGCAUAUUCUGUGAGCAGGAAAGCGGGGGACCUUCGGGCCUCGCGCUCUUGGAGCGGCCGAUGUCGGAUUAGCUAGUUGGUGAGGUAAAGGCUCACCAAGGCGACGAUCCGUAGCAGGUCUGAGAGGAUGAUCUGCCACACUGGAACUGAGACACGGUCCAGACUCCUACGGGAGGCAGCAGUGGGAAUUUUGGACAAUGGGGGCAACCCUGAUCCAGCCAUGCCGCGUGAGUGAAGAAGGCCUCGG